AUUGAACGCUGGCGGCGUGCCUAACACAUGCAAGUCGAGCGGUAACAGGUGUAGCAAUACAUGCUGACGAGCGGCGGACGGGUGAGUAACGCUUGGGAAUCUGCCUGAUAGUGGGGGACAACCCGGGGAAACUCGGGCUAAUACCGCAUACGCACUACGGUGGAAAGCCGGGGACCGCAAGGCCUGGCGCUAACAGAUGAGCCCAAGUCGGAUUAGCUAGUUGGUAGGGUAACGGCCUACCAAGGCGACGAUCCGUAACUGGUCUGAGAGGACGACCAGUCACACCGGAACUGAGACACGGUCCGGACUCCUACGGGAGGCAGCAGUGGGGAAUAUUGGACAAUGGGCGAAAGCCUGAUCCAGCGACGCCGCGUGGGUGAAGAAGGCCUGCGGGUUGUAAAGCCCUUUCGGUGGGGAAGAAAAGCCUCGAGCUAAUACCUCGGGGUCUUGACGUAACCCAUAGAAGAAGCACCGGCUAACUCUGUGCCAGCAGCCGCGGUAA
Molecule: ribosomal RNA, 502 nt
Filed under: uncultured bacterium
Lineage: Bacteria
Description: partial 16S ribosomal RNA
Rfam family: Bacterial small subunit ribosomal RNA
Source: RNAcentral